CUGUUGUGUCAUUCUUCCACUCUUCAUUUUCAUAAUAAUGCAUUGCAUACAUAACACAACACACAAACCAAACCAACCCAUUCUCCAUUCUCACUUCUCAAAUCCAAACCUCUCUGCAAACUCAAUUCCACCCUCUCAUUCCUUCUUCAUCAACCCCACAGACUCCCACAACAGAACCAAAAAACAACAACCUUAAAACUUCCAACACACAAUAAAAGACUCAACGAAGAAUCAAAAGCUUCACUCUCUCUUUUGUUCCUUUUCCCGUAGUGUGAUCAUCGUUUCACCGAUGGCCACGGGACCCGAAAGAUCGAAGGCACUGCACAACUUCUCCUUGCCCUGUUUGAAAUGGGGCACGCAACGGUUACUUCGCUGCGUCAACGUCGACCUCGAUCGCCGGUCCCCCACGCCCCAAAACGACGCCGUUAGAGUCCCCAAGCGCAAAAGCGACGACGCAGAGGAAGCUGGUGCCAUGAUGCCUUGGAAUUUGAGGACCAGACGAGCUGCGUGCAAGGCGCCGCCGCACGACGAGGACCGGAGGUUCUCCGAAAUGGGGUGUUCGCCGUCGCCGGUGAAGAAGGUGGUGGUGGGGAAUGAGAGAGUCAAGUUUUCCGUUUCUCUCUCUAAGGAGGAGGUGGAGCAGGAUUUCUGGGCCUUGGUCGGAACUAGGCCCCCCAGGAGGCCCAGGAAGAGGCCCAGGAUUGUUCAGAGGCAGUUGAAUACACUUUUUCCUGGCUUAUGGCUGGCUGAGGUCACAGCAGAGUCAUACAAAGUGGCUGAGGUUCCUGAAUGAGGGACUGAAAUGAAUGGCAAAACCAAGUUUUGAAUGGAUGUACCAAAUAUUUUUGCUUGCUGACUUCCCAUGUGUUGUGACAUAAAUAAUGAGAUUUCCUUAGCAUGCAUCAGUGACUUGCUGCUAAAAAAAAUAUGCGCAUUAAUUCAGUGGCAUGACUUUCUGUUGAAAGGAGCACAUUGAAAGGUAAUCCUCUUUCCUUUAUAUUUGAAGAAAUAAAGGGGGAAAACAAUGCUUUGGUUGACUUCAUCGGUUACAAUAAAUGGCAAGUGAAAGAUUUAUAAUGUAUUACACAAAAAAUGUCCAUUUCUGUCACUAAAUUUUGCAUUCUCUCCACAACCUAGCAGCUAGCACACUAGUCUGUGGCUAUAUGAAUGAGAAUGAGAAUUUAGUUGUAAUAGUAUUAGUAACAUGUGUCCGUGUUGAAAUUUUCACAAGCUGUUUUGCUGAUGAAAAUAGUUUCAAAUUUUGUUCAAAAUAAUAUGUGCUGUGAUUGUGUUUCCAUUCAUAAACUUGCUGCAGUGACUUAAAACCUGAUUGAAUUGGCGUAAAACCAUCUGUAUUUUCUGCUAUUUUUACGAGAGAACAGAAGAAAAGCAUAUUUGGAUUUGUCUUUGGGAUAUCCAUUAGUGUUGAUUACUUGAUUGUAUGAUUCAUGAGAACUUAUAGCAAAUUUCCACGGCUAACAUUUUUCUUAAUCGCAUUUGAUAUGUAUGAUGGAUGGUUAAUCCUGAAACAAAAUUACAUCAAUGGAUUUUUCUUUCCAUAAAGAGGAAAUUAUCAUUGGUUUCCUACUCAGUGUUACCCUCCUAGGUAUGAGUUCAUUUCAGGUGAGAUAAUAAUGCCUAUUGCAUUUACACUUGCAUCUAUUGCUGUAAUAAUUCUUGUAUUCCGCUAACAAUGGUAUGUUGAUCUAUGUACAUAAAUAGAUGAUGUGAUAAAGAAGUAGAGGUGUGAACUUGUUGGGUGAAUAUAUGAUAGUGACUUUAGACAUGUAGGCGAUUCCAGCAAACACUUACAUAACCUUUUACACUCUCACUUUAUAGCAAUUCAAGUACUUGCUAGUAAUCAGAGUUCCUGUGUAGCAAUCUUUCAUCCCAAUAGAACUCUUGUACCCUAUACUGCAAUGGUAAAUAUCAGCAAGUAUUGGAUUGUCCUAGUUGGCAUUGAACUUGCCAAAUUGAGUUGUUGAGAAAUAAUUGAGAUUGUGGCGGUCCAAAUAAGGCAGCAUCUGACAGGUCUUAUAUUCAAUUAGCAAUAAUGAGUAUUGAACAAUUUUUUUUUU
This is an RNA transcript of Cajanus cajan (pigeon pea), 2078 nucleotides long. It is a transcript of the gene named DUF1639 family protein, putative (DUF1639), with no coding region annotated. Lineage: Eukaryota; Viridiplantae; Streptophyta; Magnoliopsida; Fabales; Fabaceae. The record is from RefSeq and is a predicted model, not a curated record.